AGUAAAGAUUUUAAGGGCGUACGGUGGAUGCCUUGGCGAUAUCAGCCGAAGAAGGACGCGGUAAGCUGCGAUAAGCUACGGAGAGGUGCAAGCAACCUUUGACCCGUAGAUUUCCGAAUGGGGGAACCCGGCAGUGGUUAUGCACUGUCACCCAUACCUUUGAGUAUGAGGAGGGCACCUGGGGAACUGAAACAUCUAAUUACCCAGAGGAAAAGUAAUCAAACGAGAUUUUCUUAGUAGCGGCGAGCGAACGGGAAAGAGGCCAAACCGGAGCGGGCAACCGCACCGGGGUUGAGGACAGUCAUCAAGUGUAAAUGAGGUAGAAGAAUCGAGUUGGAAAGCUCAGCCGAAGAAGGUGAAAGCCCUGUAAUCGAAACCUUGCAUACAUGGGACUGUAUCCAGAGUACCACGAGACACGUGAAACCUUGUGGGAAGCAGGGGGGACCACCCUCCAAGCCAAAAUACUGAUAUCGACCGAUAGCGCAUAGUACCGUGAGGGAAAGGUGAAAAGAACCCCUGGCGGGGAGUGAAAGAGAACCUGAAACCGUAUGUCUACAAACAGUCGAAGUCUGUAUAUAUAUCAGGACGACGGCGUGCCUAUUGAAGAAUGAACCGACGAGUUACUGUUGCUAGCGAGGUUAAGUGGAAAACACGGAGCCGCAGCGAAAGCGAGUCUGAACAGGGCGUUUAGUUAGUAAUAGUAGACCCGAAACCGUAGUGAUCUAUCCAUGGCCAGGUUGAAGCACAGGUAAAAUUGUGUGGAGGACCGAACUCGUGAGCGUUGAAAAGCUUUGGGAUGAGUUGUGGAUAGGGGUGAAAUGCCAAUCGAACACGGAGAUAGCUGGUUCUCCCCGAAAUAGCUUUAGGGCUAGCCUCGAGGUUGAGAGUAUAGGCGGUAGAGCACUGAUCGGGCUAGGGGCCAUACCGGUUACCGAACCUAGUCAAACUACGAAUGGCUAUACUUAUACUCGGGAGUCAGACAGUGAAUGAUAAGGUCCAUUGUCAAGAGGGAAACAGCCCAGAACACCGACUAAGGUCCCAAAUGUUACACUAAGUGGCGAAGGAUGUGGAAUUUCCAAAACAACCAGGAUGUUGGCUUAGAAGCAGCCACCAUUUAAAGAGUGCGUAAUAGCUCACUGGUCGAGAGACUCUGCGCCGAAAAUGUCCGGGGCUAAAGUGUAAAACCGAAGUCGUGUCAUAUGCAGCAAUGUAUAUGGGUAGGGGAGCGUUCUCAUUGGGUUGAAGCAGUACCGUAAGGAGUUGUGGACUGAUGAGAAGUGAGAAUGUCGGUAUGAGUAGCGAAAAGAAUGGUGAGAAUCCAUUCCACCGAAAGCCUAAGGGUUCCUGAGCAACGAUCGUCGUCUCAGGGUAAGUCGGGACCUAAGCCGAGGCGGAAAAGCGUAGGCGAUGGACAACAGGUUGAAAUUCCUGUACCGGUGUGAAUCGUUUGAUCGAUGGAGUGACACAGUAAGGUAGGUCAGCACGCGAUUGGAAGUGCGUGUUUAAGCAUGUAGGUUGAGCUAUAGGCAAAUCCGUAGCUCUGAAAGCUGAGAUGUGAUGACGAGUUACUAGCGAUAGUAACGAAGUGAUUGAUCCUACACUGUCGAGAAAAGCUUCUAGGUAGAGACACAUCGCCCGUACCAAAACCGACACAGGUAGGCGGGGAGAGAAUCCUAAGGUGCGCGGGAAAACCCUCGUUAAGGAACUCGGCAAAAUGCCUCC
RNAcentral lists this ribosomal RNA (1722 nucleotides) under Escherichia coli. RNAcentral describes it as "partial 23S ribosomal RNA". It matches the Rfam family "Bacterial large subunit ribosomal RNA", at positions 1 to 1729 of the family's 2925-position model. Lineage: Bacteria; Pseudomonadati; Pseudomonadota; Gammaproteobacteria; Enterobacterales; Enterobacteriaceae. The record is from RNAcentral.